GAUGAAGAACGUAGCGAAAUGCGAUAAGUAAUGUGAAUUGCAGAAUUCAGUGAAUCAUCGAAUCUUUGAACGCACAUUGCGCCCGGUAGUAUUCUGCCGGGCAUGCCUGUUCGAGCGUCAUUUCAACCAUCAAGCCCCAGCGCUUGUGUUGGGGGCCUGCGGCUGCCGCAGCCCCCUAAAAGCAGUGGCGGGCUCGCUAUCACACCGAGUGCAGUAGUUCAUCUUCUCUCCGGUCUUGUGAGGCGGGUUCCGGCCGUGAAACACCGCACUACAUUCAAGGUUGACCUCGGAUCAGGUAGGAAUACCCGCUGAACUUAAGCAUAUCAAUAAGCGGAGGA
RNAcentral lists this unclassified non-coding RNA (338 nucleotides) under soil metagenome. RNAcentral's name for it is "partial contains 5.8S ribosomal RNA, internal transcribed spacer 2, and large subunit ribosomal RNA". The stretch from base 1 to 120 matches the Rfam family "5.8S ribosomal RNA", at positions 35 to 154 of the family's 154-position model. The record is from RNAcentral.